RNAcentral lists this long non-coding RNA (1123 nucleotides) under Androctonus crassicauda. Lineage: Eukaryota; Metazoa; Arthropoda; Arachnida; Scorpiones; Buthidae. The record is from RNAcentral.
CUUCAGUUCUCUGUAAUGAAGGAUUUAGAGAAUCCAUUCCUGGACUAAGAGUCUUUGCUUGCCUUAGUCCAGGAAUGAAUCUCCAAUGAGACAGAUGCUAAGCUACCAAUUAGUCCCUGAUAACCCUGUCCAAAUGCAUUAGAUCUGAUAUCUAGGGCCAGUUCAGAUCCAUUAAAGAGAUGAAAAGCCUCUUCCUUGGCCAGCUCAUCUGCAAUUGUAUUGUUUUCAGUCCUUUUAUAUUCUGUCCCCAAACAGGUUGAAUGAACCCUGUUCCUGGUAGCAAGUUCCACAAUGAGAUGAUGGCAUUUUCAUAUAAAUUAUGAAAUAAACAGUAGCUAUCAAGUGCUUUUAAUACAGCUUGUGUUAAAAACACAAUAGAAUAUAAAUAUUAACAUAUUUCUAUCAAGACUGGUUUUAGUACAUGCAGAAAUUGCAUAGAUUUCUGCAUGAAAGACAGAGAAAACUCUCCAAGGGAAUAAGAAUAAGACAUCCUCAUUCCUUCACAAUAAAUUCUUACCUUAUGCCAUUAUAGAUUUUGGAAUUAUCUGUAUAUCAGAUCAGUCCAUCUUUGAUACUCUCCUAAAUCCAUUCCUCUUUGCUGAGAAAAAUAACAGAUAACGAUCUGAAAAAGUUGAAUCUGGGUACAUCUUGGUCUGUAACCAUUUUAAAAAUGUGACUGUAUGUCUUUCCCAUUCAAAAAAUAAAUGCUCCACUUUGUGAAUCCAAGAAAUUGGACCUACAAUGUGGAGCACUUUCACAACAAUGAAGCCUAUAAUAGCUUUCCUGGACAUUAGUCUCAACAAAUAUAUGUAAGGGGGAAAUGUCCAAAAGAAUUUCAAGAGCAAUCCUCAAUAACUCCUGUAAUGCUCAGCAAGCCAUCCCUGAGCAUCACAGGAACUCCCCAAGUUCAAUCCUGCAUAUUUUUAAUAGAACUUUCACUCCAAAUGAUUUGCAACAUAGAAAAUAAUGGGAAAUUUUGUCUUACAAAUGAAUAUUUAUUUCAUCAAUUUGAAUAUAAGGAGAUUCCUACUUUUUAUUGUUACGUCCAGAAAUUUCUGCUAUCUUUCCCAUAAUUUUAUAUUGGGUUUUUUCCUCUAUGAUGCAUAACUUCUCUAAAAUCUAG